RNAcentral lists this ribosomal RNA (460 nucleotides) under uncultured bacterium. RNAcentral describes it as "partial 16S ribosomal RNA". It matches the Rfam family "Bacterial small subunit ribosomal RNA", at positions 338 to 795 of the family's 1533-position model. The record is from RNAcentral.
CCUACGGGUGGCUGCAGUGAGGAAUAUUGGUCAAUGGCCGAGAGGCUGAACCAGCCAAGUCGCGGGAGGGAAGACGGCCCUACGGGUUGUAAACCUCUUUUGUCGGGGAGCAAAGCGAGUCACGUGUGACUCAUUGAGAGUACCCGGAGCACAAGCAUCGGCUAACUCCGUGACAGCAGCCGCGGUAAUACUGAGGAUGCGAGCGUUGUCCGGAUUUAUUGGGUUUAAAGGGACCGUAGAUGGGUUGUUAAGUCAGUUGUGAAAGUUUGCGGCUCAACCGUAAAAUUGCAAUUGAAACUGGCAGUCUUGAGUACAGGUGAGGUAGGCGGAAUUCGUGGUGUAGCGGUGAAAUGCUUAGAUAUCACGAAGAACCCCGAUUGCGAAGGCAGCUUACUAAACUGUGACUGACAUUGAUGCUCGAAAGUGUGGGUAUCAAACAGGAUUAGAUACCCGAGUAGUC